This 265-nucleotide long non-coding RNA is filed under the name Bos taurus (domestic cattle). Its description in RNAcentral is "long non-coding RNA NONBTAT019139". Lineage: Eukaryota; Metazoa; Chordata; Mammalia; Artiodactyla; Bovidae. The record is from RNAcentral.
AUUUGCCACAAUGCCCAACUAGUUUAAUAAGGCUGGGUCCCCAAUGAGUGGCUGAGGAUUGACUGUUCAUUAACUUCACAUGCUUGUUCUAUAAGUCCACAUCACUUUAAUACCAGAACCCUGCAAAAAGAACGCCUCAAACCUCAUGUUUUUGGCUCUUCAGUUUGAGAGGGCUGUUUCCUUUCACACUUUUCCUUCAUGAUCAUUUACUAACAAAUAUGCUCAUGGCUUAGUAUGUUAACAGAAGAGAUGGCUAAUGAAAUCU